This 468-nucleotide ribosomal RNA is filed under the name uncultured bacterium. RNAcentral describes it as "partial 16S ribosomal RNA". It matches the Rfam family "Bacterial small subunit ribosomal RNA", at positions 28 to 507 of the family's 1533-position model. The record is from RNAcentral.
GACGAACGCUGGCGGCGUGCUUAACACAUGCAAGUCGAACGGAAAGGCCCUGGUUUUGUGGGGUGCUCGAGUGGCGAACGGGUGAGUAACACGUGAGUAACCUGCCCUUGACUUUGGGAUAACUUCAGGAAACUGGGGCUAAUACCGGAUAGGAGCUCCUGCUGCAUGGUGGGGGUUGGAAAGUUUCGGCGGUGGGGGAUGGGCUCGCGGCUUAUCAGCUUGUUGGUGGGGUAGUGGCUUACCAAGGCUUUGACGGGUAGCCGGCCUGAGAGGGUGACCGGCCACAUUGGGACUGAGACACGGCCCAGACUCCUACGGGAGGCAGCAGUGGUGAAUAUUGCACAAUGGGCGGAAGCCUGAUGCAGCAACGCCGCGUGAGGGAUGACGGCCUUCGGGUUGUAAACCGCUUUCGCCUGUGAAGAAGCGAGAGUGACGGUAAUGGGUAAAGAAGCACCGGCUAACUACGUG